This 424-nucleotide long non-coding RNA is filed under the name Mus caroli (Ryukyu mouse). RNAcentral describes it as "lncRNA (MGP_CAROLIEiJ_G0005290.1)". Lineage: Eukaryota; Metazoa; Chordata; Mammalia; Rodentia; Muridae. The record is from RNAcentral.
GGCGCCGGGGCUGAGGGGCGGCUGCUGCUGCCGCCAGUGCGCGGGGUUAUGCGAGCCGGGUGGCUGGGUCAUCGUAGGAAAGAUGUGGCUGCAGUCGUGGAGAGCACGAUUCCUGCAAAGUCAUCUCCACCCGCACAGCCUGGCCGGCCAGCCCGCCCCGCCCAGGGACAGCAACACCAGCCACCCCACCUCUUUUUUCCUCCCCCAUCCCCGCGCCUUGCACGCAGGGCCUGAAGUUGGGGUGCGGUAUGGACUAUGUUUAGAAGCUGAUGUCAUCGCGACACCCUACUCUGCAGUCUUCCCAGAGGGACCGCAGGGCAGGUUUUCCUGAUCUUCGAGGAGGGAUGUGGGGGUGGAAAGUAGCCUGCCUUCUCAGCACACCUCACACCCAUGGUACCUCAGGGAUUAAAAAAAAAAAAGAAAA